This 807-nucleotide long non-coding RNA is filed under the name Calidris pugnax (ruff). Its description in RNAcentral is "lncRNA (ENSCPUG00000012383.1)". The record is from RNAcentral. Lineage: Eukaryota; Metazoa; Chordata; Aves; Charadriiformes; Scolopacidae.
CCUGUGCGGGAGAGCGGGGCCGGGCCGGCUGCCCGCUCCGUGGGGCGGCGGGUGCCGAAGGGGCCGUCGGUGCGGGGCGGCGGCCGGGCGGGAGCGGGCGGGCGGUUGUUGUCGACAUGGACUUUGAUGGUGGUUUCGGCUCUUUGCGGUUCAGGCAGCGGAAUCCGGGGGACGCGGCGUUGGUGGGACGGGGGUGCGAUCCUGCCGGGCGGCUGCGGAGGAAGGAGCAUCCUUCUCCGGGAGUUCCUCCCGGGUGGCCGGAGGCGCGCCGCUGGGAUCGCCUUUGGGAGAUGCUCUGGGCACCGAACCCCCCCAUCCCUCACGGCGCUGGCUGAUGCAGUUCUCUAUUGCAAUUCUGGGCAGCUUUCAAAUAGCUGGAGAAUCUGGUUGUUAACUUCUCGUUUUGUUCUCCUCGGCUGAUUUCUGCUAAUUAUUGGUGACGUGGUUGUGAUUUUAAAACGUGGGGCUGUGUUUUCCUGCGCGUUCCUGUGUGAGACGAGGUCUGCUGUUGCAUUCCUGGUUCUGAUUCCCAGUUUUACAGUUGGCUUCAAUACACGGAGAUCAAAGAACAGGACGGGGCUGUGUGCUGCUUUUCUUGUACUCUUCUCCGGUUGUUCCUGGGCAGAUCCUGGCCAUCUCCUUCCUUCUGACUUUAAUCCAGUGGGACCUUUGCCUUUGUAAGGGCAUCCCAAGGCAAAGCAGUGUGCCUCAUCCAUACCUUAUGAUCUGCAGCUCCAUAUGUUUGUAGUCCAAUCUUGUGACGGUUACUACAAUAAAGCGCGACCCUGUCAGCCUGAGAUACUGAUC